UGUGUGUGUGCGCGUGCAUGUGCGAGCGUGUGCCGUACAUGAUUGUAUCCUUUGUAUAAUGCUACCAGGCUGUACUUAGUAUCCUCUUCCUCCCUCUUAGGGUAUGGAUAACUCAACCUCCUCCAUCCAUUUGGCUCUUGCCUUAAAGGGUAAGCACUGAAGUGUGGGGAAGUUGUCCUUGACUAGAAUGCUACUUUAUUUUCAGGAAGAAAGAGAAGGUGGUUAUUUACAUGUCUAUGUAGGAAGAAAGGUCUAGGAAGAUGUCAUUUUGCACAUGCACAUGUGCAUGGUGUUCUGAAGAGUUAGAAAGUGCUAUAGAUGUUUUAGUGUAAAGAUACUUUAGAGGUAUGAAUGAAAGGGGAAAGUCCUUUCUCCAGGAAAAUAGAGCUUGGUCCUAUAGAUUCUCAGGUGGUACGAGUCACAACCUCAUGGAGUUGAAAGAGAUUCCCCCCUGCUAUAUUAUGGAAAGUAUCUGUAUGGAAAAUAUCUAUGGAAAGUAUCAGCCAGAGACUAAACUAGUUCUAGUCGAUUGUAAGUACCUUGAGGCCAAGAAUUGUCUUUUGUCCCUUUUUGUAUCUUCAGUGCUUAGUAUGGUUACCUGGAACAUAGUAAGCACUUAAGAUUUAUUGAUUGGUUGAUGAUCUCUAGGACUGUGGUGGUAAACCCUCUAAAAGGUUCACCAGCACUGUUCUAGGGUAUUUUCAAAUUGAAUGUAGGAUUCUGUUGUAGUAGGGAAUUCUCUUGAAACUUAAAUCUUCUGUCUGGACUAAAAAAGAAGAAAAAAAAAGCCUGGGAGUCAGCUAGGUUGCACAGUGGAUUGAGAGUCAAGCCUGGAGAUAGGAGAUUCUGAGUUCCUCAAACACUUCCUAACUAUAGGACCAGGCAAAUCACCUAACCCCAACUGCCUACCUCUUACUACUUUUCUGCUUUGGAAUCAAAACUUAGUAUCAUUCUAGGACAGAUGGUAAGGUUUUGUUUUUGUUUUUGUUUUUUUUAAAGGGCAAAGUUAACAGUAGCCUUUUGAUUUAAAGAGAAUGAAGAGGACCCUGAGGAAACCUAUCUACAUGGUUCCUGAAAUUGAGAAUAUUUUUUGUGUAGGUAGGUAGUUCAUUUUAAAUAGGAAAAGUUCAUUUUAAGGAGGAAAAUCUAGACACUAGCAGCAUUCUCAGACACUUUUUAGCUUGAAAUCCAUAAUUAGGAUCACCUACAAGUUAGACAAUGAAGUCUGGACCAGUGUCUACAGUUAAAAUGCAAAUAUUUACCUGAGAGCCCCAUAGGUCCUCUUUCAUUUGCAUCAAUUAGCUGGUCAGAUUAGGUAGUUGAUUACCUUGGGUCCUGAGGGAAUGAGAUACUCAGGCUCUUUCUGUGGGGAGAGAAUCUGAUAGUUCCAAACUCUAAGUUAGGUCUGGUGCCUAAGGAAGGCUAUAAUUACUGAGGAUAGAACAUAGGAGGGAUUGGAGGGGAGGAAUUUGCCAAAGGGAAAUUUUACUUCAGAAGUUGCUUAGUGUGGUCCUUGCUUGGAGCCUUAGAGUUCAAAUAAGGAAGAGUUAAAAGGGAGAACAGGGCUAAGGACUAAGGCCUGCACUGCCCACAGAGCAAGUGUUUAAAGCAAACUCAAGCUUCCUUGAUCUAACUCCAGAAAGAUUCCUGAUGGACUUCCAGUUGAAGUUUGACCCUAAACCAACAUCUCUUUUUCCUAUCUGUUCCUUAAUGAAGGAGGAAUGGGUUCCAAUUUUUAUUCUGGGUUUCUUCCUUGGACUUUAGCUUUGCUUAUCUCUUCUAUUAAUGACCUUGGAGGACUCUGACCUGGGUUCAAGUCGUCUUGGUCCUUUGACUUUAGUCCUUCUGUCGUUAUUCAGUCAUUUUUAGUCAUGUCUAAUAUUUCAUGACCCCAUAUGGGGUUUUCUUGGCAAAGAUAUUAGUUUGGUUUGGCAUUUCCUUCUCUGGCUUAUUUGACAGAUGAGGAAACUGAGGUAAAUAGAGUUAAAUGACUUGCCCUGGGUCACAUAGCUAGUAAAUAUAUUUGAAGUCAAAAUUGAAUUCAGGAAGAUGAAUCCUUCUGACUCCACAUCUGGGACUCUAUCCAGUGUACUGCCUAGUAGCCCCAACCUCAGUUCUUAAGUACCUGCUAUUGACUGCUAUUGAUUUCAGGAUGAGGAAUAGGACACCAUUUCUGCAAAGGCACAUUAAAGGAAAGGCUCUAGACAGAAAGCAAGACAGCAUUGCACAACUCCCAGUGAGGUUCUCCUCACUCUAUACCAUACCUCAGAUCAGGGAGAGUAGUGGUCAUUCUAUCAUAGGUACCCUCUUGUUCCUCUCUUGAGGUCUUUUACUGCAGGCUGUAAAAUUCAUUUCUCUGGCUAGGACUAAUGUCCUGUAGUAGAGGCUAGUGUCAAGGGACUGGUCCUAUAGGAAUUGUUUCUACUAUUCUUUGGAGCACUAAAUCCAUAAAUCUUCAAUUCUGCCUUUUAAAUAAAAGGCAAUCAAGGCUUCCUGUCCCCCA
Long non-coding RNA from Monodelphis domestica (gray short-tailed opossum), 2503 nucleotides. The record is from Ensembl. Lineage: Eukaryota; Metazoa; Chordata; Mammalia; Didelphimorphia; Didelphidae.